RNAcentral lists this long non-coding RNA (227 nucleotides) under Elaeis guineensis (African oil palm). RNAcentral's name for it is "long non-coding RNA (EGUI_LNC017480)". The record is from RNAcentral. Lineage: Eukaryota; Viridiplantae; Streptophyta; Magnoliopsida; Arecales; Arecaceae.
ACUCUUGCUUUAUGUAUAUAAAGAGGCAUUUUUGCUGCUGCCACUAAGAAAGUUCGGAAUUUCCAGGUGAUUUAGGGAGGUUUGGGCCAACUCAUGAGACGCUGUUGGCCCUACAUGUUUCACAAGAUCCUUUGGACCUUCUUUUACAAAAGUCUACCAUAUAAGGCAGGCUUGUAUAGACACAUUUUCUACCUUCAACCCCAAUUUAAGGCUAGGGCAGCAAAUGG